This 335-nucleotide unclassified non-coding RNA is filed under the name soil metagenome. RNAcentral's name for it is "partial contains 5.8S ribosomal RNA, internal transcribed spacer 2, and large subunit ribosomal RNA". The stretch from base 1 to 120 matches the Rfam family "5.8S ribosomal RNA", at positions 35 to 154 of the family's 154-position model. The record is from RNAcentral.
GAUGAAGAACGUAGCGAAAUGCGAUAAGUAAUGUGAAUUGCAGAAUUCAGUGAAUCAUCGAAUCUUUGAACGCACAUUGCGCCCCUUGGUAUUCCAUGGGGCAUGCCUGUUCGAGCGUCAUUUGUACCUUCAAGCUUUGCUUGGUGUUGGGUGUUUGUCUCGCCUUUGCGUGUAGACUCGCCUUAAAAUAAUUGGCAGCCGGCGUAUUGAUUUCGGAGCGCAGUACAUCUCGCGCUUUGCACUCAUAACGACAGCGUCCAAAAGUACAUUUUACACUCUUGACCUCGGAUCAGGUAGGGAUACCCGCUGAACUUAAGCAUAUCAAUAGCGGAGGA